GAUGAAGAACGUAGCGAAAUGCGAUAAGUAAUGUGAAUUGCAGAUUUCAGUGAAUCAUCGAAUCUUUGAACGCACCUUGCGCCUUGUGGUAUUCCACAAGGCAUGCCCGUUUGAGUAUCAUUAAAUCAUCAACUCUAAAACCUUUGUGGUUUUUUUAGAGCUUGGUCUUGAGGGUUUUGCAGGCUUUUUUUUUUCGCGUCUGCUCCCUUUAAAUGCAUUAGCGAGACUUCCCUAUGCUGAACCGUCUCUUUGACGUGAUAAUUAUCUGCGUCGAAUUUUGGUUCUCGUUGGGCUUGCUUCUAAUCGUCUGUUAAAGACAAAACGGAUUUGGGUGCAUAUAUGCGCCUUUUUCCAAAACCUUUUUUGAUCUCAAAUCGGGUAGGACUACCCGCUGAACUUAAGCAUAUCAAUAAGCGGAGGA
RNAcentral lists this unclassified non-coding RNA (421 nucleotides) under soil metagenome. RNAcentral's name for it is "partial contains 5.8S ribosomal RNA, internal transcribed spacer 2, and large subunit ribosomal RNA". The stretch from base 1 to 120 matches the Rfam family "5.8S ribosomal RNA", at positions 35 to 154 of the family's 154-position model. The record is from RNAcentral.